AUGACCCGUCGAGAAGCCUUUUGCAGACACUGGAUCGUGGUCUGGGGCCCCGCGCAGGAUGUCGCAUCCGACCGCGUCAUGGCCACCGUGCUCGACGCCGAGAAGCCUGAUUUCGUGGUGUACCUCGGCGACCUCGUGACAGCCAACAACGUGCCGAUCCCCAACGCCACCCUGUACUGGGACAUGGCGAUUUCUCAUUCCCGGCGCAGGGGCAUCCCGUGGUCCACCGUGUUCGGCAACCACGACGACAUGCCCUUCGAGUGGCCGCCUGAGUGGUUCUCCACGGCCGGCAUCCCGCCGGUGCACUGCCCGCCUGCGGCGUCCAUGCCAACCUCAGAGUGCAGCUUCAGAGGGACGCCGCGGAUCGACCUGAUGACGGCUGAAAUGAACCGCGACGGUGCCGACGGGUUAUCGCGCUCGUCGGUCGGCCCCCAGGAGCUCUGGCCCGGCAUCUCCAACUACGUGCUGCGGGUGCUCUCGCAUGAGAAGCAACCAGACCCUGCUCUGCUCAUGUAUUUCCUCGACUCCGGCGGUGGAUCGUACCCGGAAGUCAUAUCCUCUGCACAGGUCCGGUGGUUCUGCUACCAGUCUCAGUCCCUCAAUCCAGAUGGCAGGAUUCCAGAGAUCAUCUUCUGGCACAUACCGAGCACAGCAUACGUCAAGGUGGCUCCAAAGGCCAAGACUGAGAUAACAAAGCCCUGCGUUGGCUCCCUGAAUGAGGAAGAUGUGGCGCCACAGGUAGCCGAAUGGGGCAUGAUGGACGCUCUUGCCAAGAGAUCUUCAGUUAAGGCGAUCUUCGUGGGGCACAACCACGGGCUGGACUGGUGCUGCCCGUACGAGAAACUGUGGUUGUGUUUCGCGCGGCACACGGGUCACGGCGGAUAUGGUGACUGGCCAAGAGGGGCAAGGAUCGUUGAGAUUGCCGAGAAGCCUUUCUCUGUCCGCUCCUGGAUACGGAUGGAGAACGGGAGCACGCACAGCCAUAUUACAUUGUCUUGA
RNAcentral lists this ribosomal RNA (999 nucleotides) under Triticum aestivum (bread wheat). RNAcentral's name for it is "partial small subunit ribosomal RNA". Lineage: Eukaryota; Viridiplantae; Streptophyta; Magnoliopsida; Poales; Poaceae. The record is from RNAcentral.